This 2471-nucleotide long non-coding RNA is filed under the name Octopus vulgaris (common octopus). Lineage: Eukaryota; Metazoa; Mollusca; Cephalopoda; Octopoda; Octopodidae. The record is from RNAcentral.
AUAUACAGAACAUAUAUACACAGAUAUAUGAUUAGAAAAACAAUGAUGAUGAUGAUGAUGAUGAUGAUAUAUUUUUACACUGAUAAUAAUGAUAAUGAUGACAAUAAUAAUAAUAAUAAUACAACAUUUUAUUUUGCCACAACAACUGCCUAUCAUCAUGACAAUACAGGAGGAACAUAUCAAGAUCAAUACAUUUACAAAAGAAAAUACUGUGUACAAUAGACAUUGACAAGAAGCAAGAGACGGAUGGUAAUGAUAAUAAUGAUGAUGAUCUCGCAAACAGUACAGUCUUAAAAUCCUAAUUCAAUGUUGACAUAACAUUAACAAUGAGUAUAAAGGUUAGAUGGGGGGAUGUGGUGAUUUAGGAAAUCAUUACACUAUAUAUAGAGAGUUUUGUGUGUAUAUCUGAGAGUUGGGGAUAAAAAUAGGGAAUUCUUGAUUGCUUUACUGUGAGCAAUUCAAAGUCUUAAAUUCCAUGUUAAUUUGAUAUUUAUAUUCUAUAUACAUAUGUAGUUGUAUACAAACUCACAAAAAAUUACAUGUACUUAUACACAACAUAUGCAUAUCUAUCCUAUACAUAUAUAUAUAUGAUGCAUAAUGCAUAUCUAUCUUAUACAUAUAUAUAUGAUACAUAUUUAUAAAUUAUACACUUGUUCACACAUACACAUGUGGAUAUAUACAAAUAUGUUUUCUUACAAUUAAAACUUAAAUGACCGACACAUUUAAAAACAUGUUAAAAAUUAAAUACACAAACAUACAAAUAGGAGAGUGUCUUAACAUUACUGAAAACUGAUUGUGGUUACUUCUUAAAUAUAUGUAUGUGUAUACAUACAUAACAUAUAUGUACAUGUGUGCGUAUGUAUGUAUUUAUGCAUAUAUGUGUGUGUGUGCAUAUUUAUAUUUAUAUAUAUAUACACACACAUACAUGUAUGUAUUUAUGUAUGUCAAUUGUUCCAUGUUUAUGUUUAAAAAAAAACAACAGAAAACUGGAAACUACAGCAGCAUUUUUUAUUGGUUAUGACAAAUGUAUUAAGACAAUAAAAAUCCCUACAAAAUCAGUCUUGUUUCCUUGACAACACAAGUCAUUGAAGCAUGCUCACUGAUAGUGUAAAGUGAAAGAAAAAAAGAUAAAUACUAUUAGAGUAAUUAUUUUAACAGAUACACUUCAAUAUUUAUGCUUAUAUACACACACACAAACACACGCACACACACACACACACACAAACACACGCACACACACACACACACACACACACACACAUAUAUAUAUGAAUAAAUGAAAGAAUGGAGUUGAACGAAGAUGUUAACAAAAUUCCUUUACUCUCGACAUAUGUUUCGAAGACAGAGUAAAGGAAUUUUGUUAACAUCUUCGUUCGACUCCAUUCUUUCAUUUAUUCAUAUACAACACACAAAUUUCUACACAUGAACCCGGAGUUUCUACCCUUGACAGGUCGCUUCAACCGUGUUUCUGAUGUGAAUUUGUUACCCAGGUUUCGGUUAAACGAAUUUUCUAUGCUGACAAUAAACAUAGGAUAAUUUAUUUACCUACUUAAAUAUAUAUAUAUAUAUAUAUAUAUAUAUAUAUAUAUUGAUGCAUAUAUAUGCGUAUGUGUGUGUGUUUAUAAAUAUAUAUAUAUAUGUACAGACAUAUAUAUAUACAUGCACACACACAUAUAUAAAAAUAUAAGCAUUAAUACAUAUAUACACAAAUAUACUCAUACAUUUAAGGUAAAACCAUCUGUUUUUGAAAAUACAUUGCAACUUUGAAUAUUACGCUUAAUUAAGCAAUUGAGCAAUAAAAAGAAAAAAACAACUGAUUCCAAUUUUGGAAUAUUGAAAAUGAUAUACAAGACUUCCUGUCAGUUGCCAAAAUUGACUGGUGGCUUACUAGAUUGUUCUCAAUUGUCUGAAAUUGUCAGUUCAGGUGUAUUUAUCUGAUGAUUGUUGAAAUGUUUAGUUAAACAUGAAACUCAGAGUCACAGUAUAUUUUCUCUAACAAACUAUAUUAUCUUGUAUGUCUACAUACAUACAAGCAUAUAUAUAUAUAUAUAUAUAUAUAUAUAUAUAUAUAGUUAUAUUUCGGAAUGGUCAUUUUGCCAGUUUAGCCAAUAUAUAAACGUAUAUAUAUAUAUAUAUAUAUAUAUAUAUAUAUAUAUAUAUUUCACUCUGCUUAUGUAGUCUGUUUUUGUUGAUGUGAUCAAAUUUUGUACAUAUGCAUACACACAAACAUACAUACAUGUGUGUGUGUAUGUUUGUGUGUGUGUGUUUGUGUGUGUGUGUGUGUGCGCAUGUGUGAGAAAUGUACAGAAAUCUUUUCUCAAAAGAAAAAUGUCCAGUAAAAGAAGUGACCACAGUCAAUUAAGUAUUUUUUUUUUCACGUUAUUUUCAUAUUUACUUAGUGUUUUACUAUUAUUUUUUUAAAAACAAAAAAAAAAAAACAGAUUAAUUAUGGAAACAAUUGACAGUUCCUC